AUGACAAUUACCCUCCAUUCGUUAGAUGGAACAAAAAUGAUCCUGUGGCUAAAUGUGGUGUCCUUACUAGCAGUCCUCAGAGGUGUCCAGUCUGAGGUCCAGUUGGUGGAGUCUGGAGGGGAUGUGAGAAGGCCUGGAGAGUCCCUCAGUCUCUCCUGCCAAGCCUCCGGAUUCACCUUGAGCAGCUAUGGCAUGGACUGGGUGAGGCAGGCUCCAGGGAAAGGGCUGGAAUGGGUGGCUUACAUAAACUCUGCUUCCAGUACUUCCUACUCGGACAAAGUGAAGGGCUGCUUCACCAUCUCCAGGGACAACUCCAAAAGCCAACUCUAUCUGCAAAUGAACAGCCUGAAGCCAGAGGACACGGCAGUCUAUUACUGUAUGACAGACACAAGAGAGAGAGAAUAUUAUUAUUACUUUGAUGUAUGGGGCCACGGAACUACUGCCACAGUCACCACAGAACCCCCAAGUGCCCCUUCUCUUUUCCCACUCAUCCCAUCUGGGAACAACCCAGAGGGUUCAGACAUCAUCAUCGGAUGCCUCGCCAAGAAUUUUCUGCCAGAUGGGGUCACUUUCUCCUGGAAUAAUCCAAGCAACCAGAGUCUCAGUGCCGAUAGCUUCAAGAAAUUUCCAUCUAUUAGGAGUCCAGCUGGGUUAUACUCUGCAGCUUCCCAGGCUCAAGUCCCACUGGCCACGUGGAAUCGUUAUGAACCAUUCUACUGCAAAGCUGACCACCCAAAGGGCAACAAAGUGAUAGCAGUUAAAAAUCCAAUUGUACAACCCACUGAGCCUGAGAUGCUCAUUCGGGCACCAGUUCUUGCUGCGUUUUCAAGUGCCUUCCUAAAUUCCACUGUUACCUGUGAAAUAAGUAACCUCUGCUCUACAAAUGCUGAAGUCCAAUGGUUUAGGGAGAACACAGAACUCACCACUGACAUCACCACCAGCAAAGCCAUCCCAAAUGGUCGUGGUGGAUACACCAUCUGGAGCAAACUUGUUAUCACCAAGGAAGACUGGUUUUCUGAGAAAGUGUUUGCCUGUCAAGUGAAAAGCGGGUCAUACAUUGGAAAACAGGAGUUCAGCAUGCCUUCUUUUUGCAAAGGUACUCCCUCAGGGUGUGACAGUGUUUAUGUGGAAACCAUCCCCCCAACUUUUGCCGAUAUGUACCAGACCGGCUCAGCCAACCUGACUUGCAGAAUCUCCAAUAUACCUAUUGGUCAGGACACUUCAGCCUUGAAUGUCACCUGGACACGAGCAUCAGACCACAAGCAACUGCCUACUGUCCUGGGGAACUUACAGGCCCAGAGAAAUGACCUGUACUAUGUUGAUGCUGUAGCCACAAUGUGUGCAACAGAAUGGAAGGAGGGUGAAACCUUUACCUGCAAAACUACAUUUGAAGGCGUAUUUGUCAAACCAGUAGAAAAAACCCUCAAGAAGCAGAGUGGUGUCAAAAGAAAACCUCCUUCUGUCUACGUCAUUCCACCUCCAUCAGAACAACUGGCUUUGCGGGAAACAGCCACCGUUACAUGCCUCCAGAAAAGUUUCGCUCCUAGCGACAUCUUUGUGCGAUGGAUCCAUAAUGACCAGCCAGUCAGUGAAUCAGAGUACUACACCAGCCAACCCAUACAAGAGUCCAAGACAUCCAACCUGUACUCUUCCUACAGCAUGUUGACCAUCAGCGAAGAGCAAUGGAAUUCUGGAGAUACUUUCACUUGCUUGGUGGGACAUGAAGCCUUGCCCUACGAGACAGUUCAGAAGACCAUAGACAAGAACACGGGUUACUUAGAUGGAAUUGUGGACUCUGAGGAUGAAGAAGAAUUCCAGAACCUCUCAUCAAUUCUUUCCACCUUCAUCAUUCUUUUCCUAGUGAGCCUCUUCUACAGUGCCACUGUGACGGUCAUCAAGGUGAAAUAGAAAGACAGAGGCUGGUCCAACCCAAAUGGCUCCACAUUCGUUGACCUACUUUUUUUAUUUAGGACCUUUCCAUCUACUUCAGUGAAAGGAGAAAGGAUUUAUUUGAGAGGGAUGUCAUUUUUACCUUGCUUUGUAUCAUAGCCGUAAGAUUCCAUAUGAGCUGAAGCAGCCCAGUUAUUUACAGUUUAGAUCCAUGGUGAAAUUUUGCUUCACUUUGUUGUGUUAUAUUCUGUGUGACAUAUAUCUUUGUGGAUACUUCCUUGUGUCUCGGUUAUACUCAUUUUUUUAUCAUUAUUAUGAUUUUAGCCAGAAUGGUCUGCCUGAUCUAAUACCUAAAAGAGCCUUACUGCACUUUUAUCUUCAUAUGAAACAGACAGGGGAUCUCUCACAAUCUGUACUGACCAGAAUGUUCAUCUUUUUUAAUUGAGAUUGCCAUACAAUGCUGUAAUAAAUAUCUAUUCUUGAUUAA
Molecule: non-coding RNA, 2377 nt
Organism: Candoia aspera
Lineage: Eukaryota; Metazoa; Chordata; Lepidosauria; Squamata; Candoiidae
Source: the annotation of a RefSeq genome assembly